UAUCCUUGCGCGAAACCUUGCUUACCUCCUGCUGAUCUCGCUGACUGGUCGAGCGAAGAUGUUGCGCAGUGGCGGCCCGCGGGAUGUUGCGACGUAGCGGCUCCGUGGGACUUAUGCUUCCCUGUGUAAUAAUUAGCUUACGAAAAACGAGAUAAGAAAAAGGAAAAGGUGCAGCAACAAACGCGAAGCGAACAGGCAAGGACUAAGCAAUAAAAAAGCCUAGCGACUACUAAAGAGUACUAAACCCGCCCCACCUAAGCUGGUGUCGCUGUAAAGUUGCGUUGUAUUGAGCUGCAAAACAAAGAGUAGCUGCGUAAAAACAGCUGGAAUAAUUGGUAACGCU
RNAcentral lists this long non-coding RNA (343 nucleotides) under Volvox carteri. RNAcentral's name for it is "long non-coding RNA (VCAR_LNC002755)". The record is from RNAcentral. Lineage: Eukaryota; Viridiplantae; Chlorophyta; Chlorophyceae; Chlamydomonadales; Volvocaceae.